CAAUGGGGGCAACCCUGAUCCAGCCAUGCCGCGUGAGUGAUGAAGGCCUUAGGGUCGUAAAGCUCUUUCGCCUGUGAAGAUAAUGACGGUAGCAGGUAAAGAAACCCCGGCUAACUCCGUGCCAGCAGCCGCGGUAAUACGGAGGGGGUUAGCGUUGUUCGGAAUUACUGGGCGUAAAGCGCACGUAGGCGGACUGGAAAGUUGGGGGUGAAAUCCCAGGGCUCAACCCUGGAACUGCCUCCAAAACUAUCAGUCUAGAGUUCGAGAGAGGUGAGUGGAAUUCCGAGUGUAGAGGUGAAAUUCGUAGAUAUUCGGAGGAACACCAGUGGCGAAGGCGGCUCACUGGCUCGAUACUGACGCUGAGGUGCGAAAGUGUGGGGAGCAAACAGGAUUAGAUACCCUGGUAGUCCACACCGUAAACGAUGAAUGCCAGUCGUCGGGUAGCAUGCUAUUCGGUGACACACCUAACGGAUUAAGCAUUCCGCCUGGGGAGUACGGUCGCAAGAUUAAAACUCA
RNAcentral lists this ribosomal RNA (516 nucleotides) under uncultured marine bacterium. RNAcentral describes it as "bacterial SSU rRNA". It matches the Rfam family "Bacterial small subunit ribosomal RNA", at positions 369 to 903 of the family's 1533-position model. The record is from RNAcentral.